This is a non-coding RNA of Astyanax mexicanus (Mexican tetra), 266 nucleotides long. The record is from Ensembl. Lineage: Eukaryota; Metazoa; Chordata; Actinopteri; Characiformes; Acestrorhamphidae.
GGUCAGUGAUGUGAUGUAAAAGGUCUGAAGCCUGACUCUCCGCCCACUUCCUGUGCUCCUCCCAGCAGCCCCUGCUGUUACUCCAGUAUACUCUAGGUGUGUAUCACUGGUUCGCGGGGCGGCUGAUAUUUAAGUGGCUGUGCUGGGUGUGUGUUUCUGAGAGCAACAAGUCUCACACACAGUGCAGCACACACACACACACACACACACAGGAGGAUGGAGGUGUGGAAAUGUUAGGCUAUUGAUCUGAACCUCAUACUGAGACC